Molecule: ribosomal RNA, 498 nt
Filed under: uncultured bacterium
Lineage: Bacteria
Description: bacterial SSU rRNA
Rfam family: Bacterial small subunit ribosomal RNA
Source: RNAcentral
AGAGGUUCGAGUUACUGGCUCGAGGACGAACGCUGGCGGCGUGCCUAACACAUGCAAGUCGAGCGAGGAGAUCCUUCGGGAUGAUCCUAGCGGCGGACGGGUGAGUAACACGUGGGCAACCUGCCUCAUAGAGAGGAAUAGCCUUCCGAAAGGGAGAUUAAUACCUCAUAACAUUGCAGUUUCGCAUGGAACAGCAAUUAAAGGAGUAAUCCGCUAUGAGAUGGGCCCCGCGGCGCAUUAGCUAGUUGGUGAGGUAACGGCUCACCAAGGCGACGAUGCGUAGCCGACCUGAGAGGGUGAUCGGCCACAUUGGGACUGAGACACGGCCCAGACUCCUACGGGAGGCAGCAGUGGGGAAUAUUGCACAAUGGGGGAAACCCUGAUGCCAGCAACGCCGCGUGAGUGAUGACGGCCUUCGGGUUGUAAAGCUCUGUCUUCAGGGACGAUAAUGACGGUACCUGAGGAGGAAGCCACGGCUAACUACGUGCCAGCCGCCGC